AUUGAACGCUGGCGGCAGGCCUAACACAUGCAAGUCGAACGGCAGCACAGAAGAGCUUGCUCUUUGGGUGGCGAGUGGCGGACGGGUGAGUAAUGUCUGGGAAACUGCCCGAUGGAGGGGGAUAACUACUGGAAACGGUAGCUAAUACCGCAUAACGUCGCGAGACCAAAGUGGGGGACCUUCGGGCCUCACACCAUCGGAUGUGCCCAGAUGGGAUUAGCUAGUAGGUGGGGUAAUGGCUCACCUAGGCGACGAUCCCUAGCUGGUCUGAGAGGAUGACCAGCCACACUGGAACUGAGACACGGUCCAGACUCCUACGGGAGGCAGCAGUGGGGAAUAUUGCAAAAUGGGCGCAAGCCUGAUGCAGCCAUGCCGCGUGUAUGAAGAAGGCCUUCGGGUUGUAAAGUACUUUCAGCGGGGAGGAAGGCGGUGAGGUUAAUAACCUCGCCGAUUGACGUUACCCGCAGAAGAAGCACCGGCCAACUCCGUGCCAGCCGCCGCAGUAA
Molecule: ribosomal RNA, 506 nt
Filed under: uncultured bacterium
Lineage: Bacteria
Description: partial 16S ribosomal RNA
Rfam family: Bacterial small subunit ribosomal RNA
Source: RNAcentral